This 618-nucleotide ribosomal RNA is filed under the name Vezdamyces vulgaris. Its description in RNAcentral is "Gyalideopsis vulgaris partial large subunit ribosomal RNA". It matches the Rfam family "Eukaryotic large subunit ribosomal RNA", at positions 37 to 658 of the family's 3401-position model. Lineage: Eukaryota; Fungi; Ascomycota; Lecanoromycetes; Ostropales; Graphidaceae. The record is from RNAcentral.
AGCAUAUCAAUAAGCGGAGGAAAAGACACCAACAGGGAUUGCCUUAGUAAUGGCGAAUGAAGCGGCAAAAGCUCAGAUUUGAAAUCUCUUUGUUCUGCAAAGCGAGUUGUAAUCUGUAGAAGGUUGAAUCGUUCUAUUUUUUCAAUUUAAAUUCUUUGGAACAAGAUAUCAUAGAGGGUGAGAAUCCCGUGAUUUUUUGAAAAAAAUGAAUAUUAUAUUCACCUUUCGACGAGUCGAGUUGUUUGGGAAUGCAGCUCUAAAUGGGUGGUAAAUUUCAUCUAAAGCUAAAUACCUGCCAGAGACCGAUAGCGAACAAGUAGAGUGAUCGAAAGAUGAAAAGCACUUUGAAAAGAGAGUUAAAAAGUACGUGAAAUUGUUGAAAGGGAAGCGCUUGCGAUUAGACUUGAAUAAUAAAUUCAAUUAACCUACGGGUUCAAUUUAUUUUUUAUUUUUUCAGGCUAGCAUCAGUUUAAUGAGGUUAAUAAAUUCGAGUGGAAUGUAGGAAAAUGCUUCGGCAGGUUCUGUUAUAGCCAUUCGAGUCAUUUAAUUUAUAUUAGACUGAGGUCUGCUCUUUUAGAAAGGAUGCUGGCAUAAUGAUCGUAAGCGACCCGUCUUGAA